RNAcentral lists this transfer RNA (67 nucleotides) under Deroploa parva. RNAcentral describes it as "tRNA-Phe". Lineage: Eukaryota; Metazoa; Arthropoda; Insecta; Hemiptera; Pentatomidae. The record is from RNAcentral.
AUCUAAAUAGCUUAAAAUUAAAAGCUUAACUCUGAAGAAGUUAUUAUAGGUAAUGACCUUUUGGAUA